RNAcentral lists this long non-coding RNA (2554 nucleotides) under Homo sapiens (human). RNAcentral's name for it is "HSALNT0081787". The record is from RNAcentral. Lineage: Eukaryota; Metazoa; Chordata; Mammalia; Primates; Hominidae.
GGGAAGCCCGUCCGACGCGUACGCUGCAGGGGCCUUCAAUAGGGGCUGUCGCCACCUGCACCCGCGCCGCUGCGGUUCGCAGGAAACUCCUGUGGCUUUUCGGAAGCACAAUGCAGAACGCCCGGUGAGGGUUUGCAAAGCCGCCCUGGGAGAUGCCGCAGUGUGAAACCUUUACGGUUGCACCUGGCCUCUCUGCUGCAUCUGGCCUGUCUGCUGCACCUGGCCUCUCUGCCCCACCUGGCCUCUCUGCCCCACCUGGCCUCUCUGCUGCAUCUGGCCUCUGCUGCGCCUGGCCUGUCUGCUGCAUCUGGCGCCUGUUGCACCUGGCCUCUUGGCUGCAACUGGCCUCUCAGCUGCGCCUCUUUGUUGCCUCUGCAAACUCGGGUGCCCUGGAGCUUCCUACCCAGAAGUGAGUGCCGUGCACACUGCAGGUGCGAGGUGCCCCUCCUUCUGUCUGUUCUGUUUGGUUUGGCAGAUGACAGCACUCUCAGUGGGGCCUGAAACCUUGACAGUCAUGGCUUUCUUUGUAAGGACUCUCUUCCUUCAUUAAAUCGCUUGUAUUUGGAUUACAGAGAUCUGUCAUAAAGAGAUUCAGUACUUAAUAAUAACGUGGGGAAAGGAUCACCAGGUACUGUUAAGAAAAAAGCAAGGACAGAACAGUGAAUACGGUAAUGAUCUUGUUUCGUAAUACAAAACAAAACAGACACUAUGCAAAUACAAACCCAAAGGAAAAUGAUCAUGCAUAAAAAUACUGUUUUUGGGCCGGGGGCUGUGGCCCAUGCCUAUAAUCCCAGCACUUUGGGAGGCCAAGGCAGGAGGAUCACUUGAGUCCAGGAGUUCAAGAUCAGCCUCGGCAACAAAGCGUGACUUCGUCUCUACAAAAAUUAAAAAGAAAUUAGCCAGGCGCUGGUGUGGGCCUGUAGUCUCGGCUACUUGAAAGGCUGAGGUAUGAGGAUUGCUGGAGCCCAGGAGGUCAAGGCUGCAUUGAGCUAUGAUUGUGCCACUGCACUCUAGGCUGGGCGACAGAGCUGGGCCCCAUCUCUCUCUCUCUCUAGAAAGAUAGUUUUUGGAUUGUUGGAUUGUACAGGUGAUAAUAAUUUUCUUUAUUUUACUUAUCUGUUCCGAAUAGUUUUCCACAGUAAACAUGUUUUUUUUUCUAAGAAGAAGGGAUAAUAAAUGUUUAUUUUUUGAAAGGAACAUAGAUCGGCUGGGCGUGGUGGCUCACGCCUGUAAUCCCAGCACUUUGGGAGGCGGAGGCGGGCAGAUCACGAGAUCAGAAGACCAGCCUGGCCAAUGUGGUGAAACCCCGUCACUACUAAAAAUAAAAAAAAAUUAGCUAGGCACGGUGGCACACACCUGUUGUCCCAGUUACUCGGGAGGCUGAGGCAGGAGAAUUACUUGAACCGGGAGGCGGAGGUUGCAGUGAGCCGAGAUGGUGCCACUGCACUCCAGCCUGGGCAACAGAAUGAGACUCCAUCUCAAAAAAAUAAAUCAAUAAAAGGAACAUAGAUCACAACACCAGAGGGAAGAGACCCAGCAGACGGGUCCUAUGCAGAAACUUGCUCCCCAGUGAUCCACAAGUCACCCAGGAGGUAAAGUAUAUGCAAGCCACAUCAGUGUUCCAGGAUGAGGGUUGCCAUUAACAAGUUUGUUUCCAGCCCUGAAAUCUGUUCCCAUUUGAACAAAUAUUACUCUUAGGAAUAGUAUAGGGCUCCCCCACCAAGAUGGUUUAAGCAAAGGUCAUAGGCCCUGCCUGUCUAAAAAUGUAACCCUGAAGUUCUUUUUGGGUGAAAGCAUUGUUAGGUGUCUCAGACAAGGACUGUUCUAUUCAACACGGAAGCACGCGUUUGCUUGUGAGCUGUUACUGCAGACUUGCCUGAGAUGCAUCCAGCCCAGAAGGGCAGGCACAGUGGGCAGCUUGUGUAUGGAGGGAGAUCAACCGGGAGAAGACACAAAGAUACAUUUUUGAGACUUUAUUAUUUCCCAUCUAAAAGUCCACCCCUAUUCUAGUGGCCAGAAUUGACUGCAGAGAAGGCAGGGUGCCCAGGAAGGGGACUGUAUGGUAAACACAGCAUUAUCACUGCCACAGGAGCCUGGUAGGGCUCAGCUGAAACUCCACCUCCCUCCACAGCCUUCAGGGGUCCUUCUUGUCCUAUGGACUCUUCUGGCAUUUCCUGUGUGGAUGCCCAUCUCAUACCUUUACAUUUUUAAAUUUUAUUUAUUUGAGAUGGAGUCUUACUCUGUCACCAGGCUGGAGUGCAGUGGCACUAUCUCAGCUCACUGCAACUUCCACCUCCCAGGUUCAAACAAUUUUCCUGCUUCAGCUUCCUAAGUAGCUAGGAUUGCAGGCGUCCGCCACCCUGCCCAGCUAAUUUUUGUAUUUUUAGUAGAGGUGGGGUUUCAUCAUGUUGGUCAGGCUGGUCUCGAACUCCUGACCACAGGUGAUCUGCCCUCCGUGGCCUCCCAAAGUGCUGGUGAGAGGUGAAGCCGGCUGGGCUUCUGGGAUGGGUGGGGACUUGGAGAACUUAUUUGUCUAGCUAAAGGAUUGUAAACG